AUGUACGUACGCAUCCACACCAUCGGCUGGACAUCACACAAUCCAUCGACGCGCACGCAUGCAUUGAGGCGACUCCCUCAACUCGCUAGGGCUUCGUUGAGCAUUGCCACCAGCAGCCGGCCGCCGCCGCUGCUUAAGCCAGUCUCUAGCGCACUUGCCGUGGAAUUGCUAUGUCACCUAUAUCAUCACGAAAGCCACGACCUUGCAACCAGGCGCGGGUGGCGGCCGGAGUCUUGCCAGCAAACAAGCUCCAAUCGGACUCACUCAAGUCAAUCAAGUGAAGAUGAAGAUGACAUCAUGAAUAGCGAGAUAUAUCACUCUGCCUUUGCGCACAGCGUGCACACUCCAGAGAGAUAUUCCGUACUUUCCGGAAAGCAGCGCGUUUGGCAAGGUGUGUACUUAACGCACGAAGACUUUACUAACACAUGCACUGUGCACGGGCCCUUGGGGUACAUGCCGUCCAGCCUGGAGAGCAGCAUGCUGUGCACCGGCGAAGGCUGCUGCCAGGCGCCCGUCGUCGUAGUCAAGGCAGCGACGGCAGCAGGGUCCUCUAACUCCGUGCAGCUCGAGCGGUUCGGCCGGAACAACCGCACCGCCGACGAGGAGCGGAUGCCCACGCGCGUGUUCGUCGCCAAAAAGGGGUGGUUCGAGAACAAGAAGGUCUCAGACAAGCUCUUCCAUCCCAAACGGCCGCCGGCGAAGGAUGUCGCCACGGGAGUAUCAGUUUGGCUGAGCUGGGAGUUCGCCCAAGAUCCUUCUCGUUCCCCACUACUCCCCCUCCCCGCGAGUUGCUGCCCCCCUUCCCCCUCGCCGCUGCCGCCGGCGGGCGCGGCCGGGCGUUGCCCGCGUGGCACCCCACAGUCCGGUGGUAGCGGCCCCCCCUUCUUCCCCCGUCGCUGGAUCACGGCUCGGGCGAGCGGUCCUAGCGGUAGAGCCCUUCGGCCGAUGACAUCUAGGCCCUAUGGGCCCUAUCUGGGUCGGAGCGGGCCUGCUGGUGGGCCGCGGUGGGUUAUUCCCCGGUGGUUCUGGCGAGCUCCUCGCGACAGGGACGGCGGCUGCUGUGCCGCGACUGCUGCAGCAUGGCGGCUGAGCUUCACGGGCCCAUUCUGGGCCCGGCCGAACAUUUGGUCUGGUGUGCCUCUGCUGCUAUGCCCGGUUUGCUACCGCCUAAGCUGGUGGAGGUUGUUCCCUCCCUCGUCGCUGCGGUGCUGCCGGUCCUUGUCUACAGGUGUCUCGUUUGGAUCCGGCCGGCCUCGCUUCGUUGGAUGUGGUUGGUCCUGGGUGGCGGGCGCGAGGGAUCGGGAGAAUUCCAUGUCGGGUCUUGCCGGCACCAACGCGGUGACGCCUGCGGGCGCCGCCAUCCUUCUUGAAGGGCGUCGGGUGACCCUCUCCUCCCUCUACCCUUCGUAUACCGGGAGACAUCCUAGGAUUCGUCCGGGCAGCAGUGUCAUCAUCGUCGCAUUCCUUCUUGAAGGUGGUGCUUGUGAUAUUUUCUUCCUUUUGAGAAAUAUGGUACACAUGCUCACAACGUGCACGCACCGACACCGUCGUACCAACCAAAGAAAAGCCGCGGAAAACCACCGCAAGGCGCGCACUGCGGCCGCAGGCGUGCAGGGCCACCUGGCCCCCGCGACACUUGUGCAGUACGUUCACCUUUGGACGCGGAUCCAGCAGACCACCCUUUCCGACGCCCCGGACACCCUCACCUGGCGCUGGGUGUCGAACGGCGCGUACUCCGCCAAAUCGUGCUACAAAGCCCUGUUUGCCGGUUCCACGAUUGAGCCCUCCUGGAGACUUUGGGAGGUGUUGCAAUCAUCAGGCUUACCCAACGCCAAGAUGAAGUCACUUCAAAAUUGUCCUAUGGAGGUAGCCGCCAAUAUUUGCAAGAGCAAACACAGCCACUGCAAACCAGGAAACGGAGGUGGCCCCGUGACACUUAAAGGCGACCAACUUAAGACGAUGAUGAAUACUAGACUUUCUUGCGGGGCGGGUCUCAUGAUUUGGGUUCUCACUUCACUGUUUGUUUCCAAGAAAUUGAAACAUAGGAGAACGCUGAUGUUAAAACAGAAGUUCAUUGAGCAAAAUCAUGGACAAUUGCUGGAACAGUUGGUAUCUCAAAGAACUGGUAUUGCAGAACAAAUGAUCAUAACCUUGGAAGAGCUAAACAAGGCAACACGCAAUUUUGAUAAAGAUCUUGUGGUUGGCGGUGGAGGGCAUGGUACUGUUUACAAAGGGAUUUUAUCGAACCAACAUAUUGUGGCCAUCAAGAAACCAAAGAAGGUUCUUUCAAGGGAGAUUGAUGAGUUUAUAAAUGAGGUUGCCAUCCUAUCACAAAUCAACCACAAAAAUGUCCUAAAACUCUAUGGUUUCUGCCUUGAAACUGAAGUCCCGAUGUUGGUAUAUGAGUUCAUAUCCAACGGGACUCUUUAUGAUUAUCUUCAUGUUGAAGGACCAAUAUCAUUGUCGUGGAACAACAGGCUGCGCAUAGCCACUGAAACAGCCAAGUCGCUCGCCUAUCUUCACACAACUGUGGCAGUACCUAUCAUCCACAGAGAUGUCAAGUCCGCUAACAUACUUUUGGAUGAUACUCUCACAGUAAAGGUAGCUGACUUUGGAGCUUCAAGGUACAUUCCGAUGGAGAAAUCUGGGUUAACAACAAGAGCUCAAGGUACACGAGGAUACUGGGACCCUAUGUACUUUUACACUGGGCGGCUCACGGCGAAAAGUGAUGUUUACAGUUCUGGGGUUGUCCUUGUGGAACUGCUAACCAGGAAGAAGCCAUUUUCAUAUUCGUCCUCAGAUGAUGAGGGUCUUGUUGUACAUUUUGUUACCUUGUUUCUAGAAGGGAAUUUGCUCCAGAUAUUAGAUCCACAAGUUAUUGAGGAAGGGGGCAAAGAAGUCCAAGAAGUGGCUGCUAUUGCAACAGCAUGUGUGAAAUUAAGUGGAGAGGACCGUCCAACCAUGAGGCAAGUGGAGUUGAUGCUUGAAGGCAUAUGUGCAUCCGAGGAGCAUAUUUUAGAUAAGCUGCACGUCGAGAACAACACGCGCUGCGCCUUGUGGCCUUCCUCGCCGGCGCAGCCUAGAUAUACCCAGUUGAGCACGCCCGGCGGAAAGGAAAGAGUAAUGCUCGAUAAGGCAGGGCUGCACAUUGAGUUCCGUCCAUCUAGCAAUGGUGCACACGACAGCCACCAUUUCGAUCUCCGCGACGGCGGCGCUUUUGCUGCUGCCGCCGACGUUGCUCUCAUUCAUCGUCGGAGCCGCAGCAGCAUUGUGUGCUGGCUUUUGCUUAUGCUUGGGUAA
This 3300-nucleotide ribosomal RNA is filed under the name Triticum aestivum (bread wheat). RNAcentral's name for it is "partial small subunit ribosomal RNA". Lineage: Eukaryota; Viridiplantae; Streptophyta; Magnoliopsida; Poales; Poaceae. The record is from RNAcentral.